GAAAGUUUCAUUGUGCAAAUCUAACUUCAUGGCCUCGCUGGCUGUAUUCCUUAUAUGAUGCUGAGACCUUAAUGGACAGAAUCAAGAAACAGCUACGUGAAUGGGAUGAAAAUCUAAAAGAUGAUUCUCUUCCUUCAAAUCCAAUAGAGUAGCUGCUUGUCUUCCUAUUGAUGAUGUAUUGAGAAUUCAGCUCCUUAAAAUUGGCAGUGCUAUCCAGCGACUUCGCUGUGAAUUAGACAUUAUGAAUAAAUGUACUUCCCUUUGCUGUAAACAAUGUCAAGAAACAGAAAUAACAACCAAAAAUGAAAUAUUCAGUUUAUCCUUAUGUGGGCCGAUGGCAGCUUAUGUGAAUCCUCAUGGAUAUGUGCAUGAGACACUUACUGUGUAUAAGGCUUGCAACUUGAAUCUGAUAGGCCGGCCUUCUACAGAACACAGCUGGUUUCCUGGGUAUGCCUGGACUGUUGCCCAGUGUAAGAUCUGUGCAAGCCAUAUUGGAUGGAAGUUUACGGCCACCAAAAAAGACAUGUCACCUCAAAAAUUUUGGGGCUUAACGCGAUCUGCUCUGUUGCCCACGAUCCCAGACACUGAAGAUGAAAUAAGUCCAGACAAAGUAAUACUUUGCUUGUAAACAGAUGUGAUAGAGAUAAAGUUAUCUAACAAAUUGGUUAUAUUCUAAGAUCUGCUUUGGAAAUUAUUGCCUCUGAUACAUACCUAAGUAAACAUAACAUUAAUACCUAAGUAAACAUAACAUUACUUGGAGGGUUGCAGUUUCUAAGUGAAACUGUAUUUGAAACUUUUAAGUAUACUUUAGGAAACAAGCAUGAACGGCAGUCUAGAAUACCAGAAACAUCUACUUGGGUAGCUUGGUGCCAUUAUCCUGUGGAAUCUGAUAUGUCUGGUAGCAUGUCAUUGAUGGGACAUGAAGACAUCUUUGGAAAUGAUGAGAUUAUUUCCUG
Molecule: long non-coding RNA, 956 nt
Filed under: Homo sapiens (human)
Lineage: Eukaryota; Metazoa; Chordata; Mammalia; Primates; Hominidae
Description: HSALNT0050269
Source: RNAcentral